AUUGAACGCUGGCGGCAUGCCUUACACAUGCAAGUCGAACGGUAACAGGUCUUCGGAUGCUGACGAGUGGCGAACGGGUGAGUAAUACAUCGGAACGUGCCCGAUCGUGGGGGAUAACGGAGCGAAAGCUUUGCUAAUACCGCAUACGAUCUACGGAUGAAAGCAGGGGACCGCAAGGCCUUGCGCGGACGGAGCGGCCGAUGGCAGAUUAGGUAGUUGGUGGGAUAAAAGCUGACCAAGCCGACGAUCUGUAGCUGGUCUGAGAGGACGACCGGCCACACUGGGUCUGAGACUCGGCCCAGACUCCUACGGGAGGCAGCAGUGGGGAAGUUUGGACAAGGGGCGAAAGUCUGAUCCAGCCAUGCCGCGUGCAGGAUGAAGGCCUUCCGGUUGUAAACUGCUUUUGUACGGAACGAAAAGACUCUUUCUAAUAAAGAGGGUCCAUGACGGUACCGUAAGAAUAAGCACCGGCUAACUACGUGCCAGCAGCCGCCGUAA
Molecule: ribosomal RNA, 498 nt
Filed under: uncultured bacterium
Lineage: Bacteria
Description: partial 16S ribosomal RNA
Rfam family: Bacterial small subunit ribosomal RNA
Source: RNAcentral